UGAGUCGGCGGGGCGGCCGCGUGGGGUGGCUUGCCACUCGACGAGGAAGGUCCGGACUCCACAGAGCAGGGUGGUGGGUAACGCCCACCCGGGGCGACCCGCGGGACAGUGCCACAGAAAACAGACCGCCAACGGCCGCGCCGGUUCGCCGGUACGGAACGGGUAAGGGUGAAACGGUGGUGUAAGAGACCACCAGCGCCUCGGGUGACCGAGGCGGCUUGGUAAACCCCACCUGGAGCAAGACCAAGAGGACCCGUACGCGGGUCUGCGCUGACGUUCGAGGGCUGCUCGCCCGAGUCAGCGGGUAGGUUGCUGGAGCGCAUCGGCAACGGUGCGCGUAGAUAGAUGGUCGCUGGGUGCCCGUGCACUUACAGGAUCCGGCCUACAAGCCGACUCAUCCG
This 401-nucleotide RNase P RNA is filed under the name Nocardioidaceae bacterium SCSIO 66511. RNAcentral's name for it is "RNase P RNA component class A". It matches the Rfam family "Bacterial RNase P class A". From Rfam's summary of the family: Ribonuclease P (RNase P) is a ubiquitous endoribonuclease, found in archaea, bacteria and eukarya as well as chloroplasts and mitochondria. Its best characterised activity is the generation of mature 5'-ends of tRNAs by cleaving the 5'-leader elements of precursor-tRNAs. The record is from RNAcentral. Lineage: Bacteria; Bacillati; Actinomycetota; Actinomycetes; Propionibacteriales; Nocardioidaceae.